UGUCAGGGGUGCCGGUACGGCUGAGAAAAGUGAAAACUUUAACCCUUUGAACCUGAUUCGGGCAGCGCCGACGUAGGGAAACCGCUUUG
This 89-nucleotide non-coding RNA is filed under the name uncultured Clostridium sp. RNAcentral describes it as "TPP riboswitch (THI element)". It matches the Rfam family "TPP riboswitch aptamer (THI element)", at positions 8 to 91 of the family's 105-position model. Rfam says of the family: Vitamin B(1) in its active form thiamin pyrophosphate (TPP) is an essential coenzyme that is synthesised by coupling of pyrimidine and thiazole moieties in bacteria. The previously detected thiamin-regulatory element, thi box was extended, resulting in a new, highly conserved RNA secondary structure, the THI element, which is widely distributed in eubacteria and also occurs in some archaea. Lineage: Bacteria; Bacillati; Bacillota; Clostridia; Eubacteriales; Clostridiaceae. The record is from RNAcentral.